GAUUGGAGAAAAUCGACGGGUGCCCGCCCCGGCUUCGCGCCGCGGGGGGGAGAAUAGGGAAGCCGGUGGGAAUCCGGCGCGGGGCCGCCGCUGUAAUCGGCCAGGCUUCGGACGCUGCGACCACUGCCGAAAGGCGGGAAGGUCGUCCGAGAGCCGCUACGAGCCGAGAGCCAGAAGACCUGCCCGUCGAAUCGAUGUCGA
Molecule: non-coding RNA, 201 nt
Filed under: Planctomyces sp.
Lineage: Bacteria; Pseudomonadati; Planctomycetota; Planctomycetia; Planctomycetales; Planctomycetaceae
Also listed under: 1 other name
Source: RNAcentral